Molecule: ribosomal RNA, 253 nt
Filed under: uncultured bacterium
Lineage: Bacteria
Description: partial 16S ribosomal RNA
Rfam family: Bacterial small subunit ribosomal RNA
Source: RNAcentral
UACGUAGGGUGCGAGCGUUGUCCGGAAUUAUUGGGCGUAAAGAGCUUGUAGGUGGCUCGUCGCGUCGGGAGUGGAAACCCGCGGCUUAACCGCGGGCCUGCUUUCGAUACGGGCGGGCUAGAGUUCGGCAGGGGAGACUGGAAUUCCUGGUGUAGCGGUGGAAUGCGCAGAUAUCAGGAGGAACACCGGUGGCGAAGGCGGGUCUCUGGGCCGAUACUGACACUGAGAAGCGAAAGCGUGGGGAGCGAACAGG